AUGUGUAAUGUGUGUUAACUUUUGGUAGGCUACUCUAGCUAAUAAAGCUAGCCCCUUUAUAAUGUUAGCCUAGCUGCUACUGAUAGAUUGAGACUGACAACUUUAGUGGCGAUAACGUUACAGUUCAAAGCAUUGUGGAGAGUGACAAUAGUGUAGCUAACUGUAUAGCUACACCCUUGGUAGAUAUAUGUCUGGGCUA
This is a long non-coding RNA of Etheostoma cragini (Arkansas darter), 199 nucleotides long. RefSeq lists it as uncharacterized. The record is from RefSeq and is a predicted model, not a curated record. The transcript is spliced from 4 exons. Lineage: Eukaryota; Metazoa; Chordata; Actinopteri; Perciformes; Percidae.